This 253-nucleotide ribosomal RNA is filed under the name uncultured bacterium. Its description in RNAcentral is "partial 16S ribosomal RNA". It matches the Rfam family "Bacterial small subunit ribosomal RNA", at positions 524 to 776 of the family's 1533-position model. The record is from RNAcentral.
UACGGAGGGUGCAAGCGUUGUCCGGAUUUAUUGGGUUUAAAGGGUGCGUAGGCGGCUUUUUAAGUCAGUGGUGAAAUCCUGCAGCUUAACUGUCGAACAGCCAUUGAUACUGAAGAGCUUGAGUACAGACGAGGUAGGCGGAAUUUAUAGUGUAGCGGCGAAAUGCAUAGAUACCAUAAAGAACACCUAUUGCGAAGGCAGCUUACUAGGCUGUAACUGACGCUGAGGCACGAAAGCGUGGGGAUCAAACAGG